GACGAACGCUGGCGGCGUGCCUAAUACAUGCAAGUCGAACGCUUCUUUCCUCCCGAGUGCUUGCACUCAAUUGGAAAGAGGAGUGGCGGACGGGUGAGUAACACGUGGGUAACCUACCCAUCAGAGGGGGAUAACACUUGGAAACAGGUGCUAAUACCGCAUAACAGUUUAUGCCGCAUGGCAUAAGAGUGAAAGGCGCUUUCGGGUGUCGCUGAUGGAUGGACCCGCGGUGCAUUAGCUAGUUGGUGAGGUAACGGCUCACCAAGGCCACGAUGCAUAGACGACCUGAGAGGGGGAUCGGCCACACUGGGACUGAGACACGGACCAGACUCCUACGGGAGGCAGCAGUAGGGAAUCUUCGGCAAUGGACGAAAGUAUGACCGAGCAACGCCGCGUGAGUGAAGAAGGUGUUCGGAUCGUAAAAAUCUGUUGUUAGAGAAGAACAAGGACGUUAGUAACUGAACGUCCCCUGACGGUAUCUAACCAGAAAGCCACGGCUAACUACGUG
Molecule: ribosomal RNA, 508 nt
Filed under: uncultured bacterium
Lineage: Bacteria
Description: partial 16S ribosomal RNA
Rfam family: Bacterial small subunit ribosomal RNA
Source: RNAcentral